This 104-nucleotide non-coding RNA is filed under the name Thermodesulfobium narugense. RNAcentral describes it as "TPP sequence". It matches the Rfam family "TPP riboswitch aptamer (THI element)". From Rfam's summary of the family: Vitamin B(1) in its active form thiamin pyrophosphate (TPP) is an essential coenzyme that is synthesised by coupling of pyrimidine and thiazole moieties in bacteria. Lineage: Bacteria; Pseudomonadati; Thermodesulfobiota; Thermodesulfobiia; Thermodesulfobiales; Thermodesulfobiaceae. The record is from RNAcentral. RNAcentral also lists the same sequence under 1 other name.
UAAAUUUUCCCGGGGAGCUCGAAAGGGCUGAGAAAGGCUAUAUGCCUGACCCGCUGAACCUGAAUCGGGUAAUACCGACGAAGGGAGAGAAAUUAAUAACUCCC